UUUUGCAUUUAUAACUUAGCAUUUAUAGCUUAGUUCUUGUUCCUACCAUUUGGUAUUGUUUCUUCUUUUUUUUCUAGGUAAAUUCAAGCUUUCUGAUAUGGAGGAUUAUGCUUUUAAAAAUCAAGACCAGUUGAUAAAGCAGCUAGAAAAACAGCUGGAACCUGCUGGAUUUGAAACAUUGGAAAAGCACCUGUCAGGGAGUACACUGAAGAAUUCCUUUUCACUCACUAGUCAGCAAUAUUACAACCUGUACUAUUGCCGAGAUCUAAACUCUUUUCUAAAUAACAGUGAUAAGAAAUUACCAAUGGUACCUAAGAAAAUACUUGCUCUCUUGUUCUCUGCUAGUAAGACCAAUAAAAAGAGGGGGGCUCAUAAAACGAAAAGAAAUGUUCAGAACUUCACAGAGGAUGACUCUGCUGAAUCUGCUGCUGCUGAUGAACAGGAAGGCAUUAAAGAUACACGUGGAUGGAAAAAUUACAAGGAAGAUGCCGUUACUGAAUCUGCUGCUGCAGAUGAACAGGAAGUCAGUAACGAUAUGAAUGAAUACAAAAACCACAAUGACUCCAUUCAGAAGACUGGAUUAUCUGUAAGUGAGUCAAGAAUGGAAUAUGAAAUGAAAAAAUCCUUAGUUAAUGAAGAGAAAAGGAAUGUUCAGGCCUUGCCAAAGGAUAAGUUUAUUGAGCCUCUCGAUUACAGUGAACAGGAAAAAAUUAAAGACAUUAAAUACAAAAAGAGUGUAAUUAAAAACUAUGCCAAAGAAGAAACUGAUGAGGUGCCAAACACAAUUCCAGAAAAUGAGCUGUAUGAGAAAUAUAAAGAAAUCUUCAGGACUUUAAAAAAGAAAUAUCAGGAAGAAGGACGGGACUUAUUACCCAACUCUCAACUCUAUGUAAACAAAAUCAGUGUUCGUAAGCACAAAAUAUACAGCUGUUUGAGAGCCCAGGAUGUGUUACUGGUUAAGUUACCAGAGGAAACAGAGUACCGUAUUUUAAAGAUUUUGGAGAAUAAAAAAGAUGUUACUGUGAAAGGAAACCUGAAGAAAAAUGUGGAAUUUGAAUUGAAGUUUAACAUGGCUAUUCUAGGUGUUCAGCGUUCUGUGCUUAUACAUGGUAGCAAUUUCUUUACAAGGGAUGCUUCUUCAUUUACAGAAUAUGAAGAGUUUUUUGAAAAGAUUGUGUCUAAAGUUGUACUUCCUGUCCUAGCCCUGUAUAAGAGGGUAUAUCAAGUUAUAUUCCAGAAGGCAUGGGCAGCCGAAGACAUUUUCCUGCCAGGAGUGGAACAGCAAACAGCAACCAGAGCCACCCAAAGCUAACUGAAUUAUUUGGCAUAUAAAGCGGAAAAUCUAACACAUCUGUGUGAUUGGGUU
Molecule: long non-coding RNA, 1366 nt
Filed under: Pogona vitticeps (central bearded dragon)
Lineage: Eukaryota; Metazoa; Chordata; Lepidosauria; Squamata; Agamidae
Description: lncRNA (ENSPVIG00000004909.1)
Source: RNAcentral